Molecule: long non-coding RNA, 408 nt
Filed under: Nicotiana benthamiana
Lineage: Eukaryota; Viridiplantae; Streptophyta; Magnoliopsida; Solanales; Solanaceae
Description: long non-coding RNA (NBEN_LNC020321)
Source: RNAcentral
ACACCCUUAACCCUAAUUUAUUUACUCAAAUCAGCCGCCCCCAGAAUCCCUUCGUCUCUCAAACUCUCUUUAACCCCCUUCCGAAGCUCUAGCCUUCUCUGCCGGUUUCCACCUUGUUUCACCAGAAUCUAUGGCAUCUCGAGUCCUGGGUGGCCUAUACUCACCCUCAAGUGCCCUCAUACCCCUGUUACUAGAAGAUUCAAGGUUCGAGUUUGAAGGCCUUUGCUCAGAUCUCCACUAAUUCGAAUGUUACGGCCAUCUCCGGCUUAACUCCGGCAUACCCUAGCCCUAUGAUUCUAUCUCUGACACAUUCCACUCCGAGCAGACACUUUUUCCAGGCCUUUAUCGCUUCUAGGGUUCUUUUGUAACCCUAGCCUUUCGAGGUUUUCCUAUUUUCUCUAGAUCUGC